Molecule: ribosomal RNA, 458 nt
Filed under: Gemella morbillorum
Lineage: Bacteria; Bacillati; Bacillota; Bacilli; Caryophanales; Gemellaceae
Description: bacterial SSU rRNA
Rfam family: Bacterial small subunit ribosomal RNA
Source: RNAcentral
GACGAACGCUGGCGGCGUGCCUAAUACAUGCAAGUCGAGCGAACUUUUUCUGGUGCUUGCACUAGAAAAACUUAGCGGCGAACGGGUGAGUAACACGUAAAGAACCUGCCUCAUAGACUGGGACAACUAUUGGAAACGAUAGCUAAUACCGGAUAACAGUAUUUCUCGCAUGAGAGAUAUUUAAAAGUUGGUUAUGCUAACACUAUGAGAUGGCUUUGCGGUGCAUUAGCUAGUUGGUGGGGUAAAGGCCCACCAAGGCGACGAUGCAUAGCCGACCUGAGAGGGUGAUCGGCCACACUGGGACUGAGACACGGCCCAGACUCCUACGGGAGGCAGCAGUAGGGAAUCUUCCGCAAUGGGCGAAAGCCUGACGGAGCAACGCCGCGUGAGUGAAGAAGGAUUUCGGUUCGUAAAGCUCUGUUGUUAGGGAAGAAUGGAUAUGUAGUAACUAUACAUGU